CACGUAGGGGCGAGCGUUGUCCGGAACUUACUGGGCGUUAAAGGGCGCGCAGGCUGUUAUGCGAGUCUGCUGUGAAAUGUACCGGCUCAACCGGUGCCUUGCGGCGGAUACUGCAUAGCUGAGUACUGGAGAGGAAGUGGAAUUCCCGGUGUAGCGGUGAAAUGCGUAGAUAUCGGAGGAACACCGGUGGCGAAGGCGGCUUUCUGGCCAGUUACUGACGCUCAUGCGCGAAAGCUGGGGUAGCGAACCGGGAUUAGAUACCCCCGUA
RNAcentral lists this ribosomal RNA (268 nucleotides) under uncultured prokaryote. RNAcentral's name for it is "partial 16S ribosomal RNA". It matches the Rfam family "Bacterial small subunit ribosomal RNA", at positions 524 to 792 of the family's 1533-position model. The record is from RNAcentral.